GUCUCAAAAGAUGUAACCGUUGGUUCCAAUUCGUAGCUUGUUGGCUCCUCCACAAGUAUCCCACUGUCUCGUCCCCCACGCCAGUGAGUACCUAACGCCCAGUCCGUCCCUAAUUUUAUUAGUAGGACAGCCUUACUGGUGGCGAUCCCAGCUGUCUGAAUAAAAAAAAUAUAUAAUCGAUUAGGUCAUUUAUUUAAUUAGCACCUGUUAUGCUCAUUCCCACCCCCACUACUGACCGUGGGUAAGCUAAUACGCCCACCCGUUACGAGAUGGGGAGGCGUAGUUAAUACCCUGCGCAUGAUCGUACCAACCGUUGCGAAGUCGAGUGAUGACAACUGUCAAUCUUCGGCUAAACACGAACGGACGGAAGAAUCAUAGAUAAAAAGUACGGUAGCAACGGGUCUGUCUUCUUUUCCGGUCGGACUACUGAAGGCAGUAGUAGUGCGCGCCGAUUCAGUGAAGUUAAUUCUAAAAGUAAAAUAAAAAUCGAAGUGUAAUAGUAAUAGUACAGAAAAGGUCCGUGACGAUUUGCGGGCCUUUUCUUUUUGUGUGUGUUUUUCGGACGGUUUCUAGA
Armigeres subalbatus is the source of this 574-nucleotide long non-coding RNA. RefSeq lists it as uncharacterized. The transcript has 2 exons. NCBI's taxonomy places the organism in Eukaryota, Metazoa, Arthropoda, Insecta, Diptera, Culicidae. The record is from RefSeq and is a predicted model, not a curated record.